Molecule: non-coding RNA, 74 nt
Organism: Myotis davidii
Lineage: Eukaryota; Metazoa; Chordata; Mammalia; Chiroptera; Vespertilionidae
Source: Rfam
GGGUGGUCUCAGGUGAUACACCCCAAAUCGGGCUCCCUCCUCUCUGGUUCGGGGUGCAUCACCUGAGAACCUCA